CGGCCACUGAACAUCUUGGGCAAUUCAGCCCCCAGCGCUGCUCAGGACAUUCUUUUGGGUUUACAAGGAAUCUUUAUUGGAGCAGUACACAACGAUAAGCAUUAAUAGAAAGGGCAUUCCUCUCCCAUAGCUUUAAAGAGAAGCCAUUAAUUCCCUUUGCAGAAAUGUGUGCAAUGUGAAUUCCUGGAAGGGCGCGGCUGGAGGGAGAAAGGACUGCGAGAUGAAAACCUGGGGGAACGGUGUCAAAAAUAAAAUGUAAGCUGUGCAUUUUAUUUUUAUGUGCAGAUUUAGAGAAAUACUGUGCCUUGGGGGAAAAAAGAGCUGGUCAGCCACUAAUAGUGCCCAACCUAAUCACGCUGUCCUCAGCUAAUGUUCCAUGUGCUGCUGCCAUGGUCAGCCUGCUCUCUUCCCCACUUCUUGUCCCCUGUGGUGUCCCAGCUCUGUGCCCAUGGGUCCCACCCCUGUCUGUCAGCUCCUGUCCUCUCCUCUUGGAUGGGUUGAGGCUGACCAUAACCAUGGUGGGCAGAGAGCACAUGGAGAACAAGGAAAUGCUGGCAAACUGGGUGUGUGGGAAUGGGAUCAUUGUCCAUCUUCUGCAGGUCGUGCUGUGAGUGCUGGUCCUGAAGUGCUGAUGUGCUGCCAACCACAGGGUUAAUCCCAGGCUCUGGAUGUACAGAUGGGUGCUCCAAGACUCCUUGCCACCACCCUGUGACAGCCACUCCAUGGGGCAGGAAGGGAAGAGAGGAGCUGGAGAUGUGAGCACUCAGAAAGGCAAUUAACCACUGGCCCAGAUAAGAGUGAAAUAUUCCAUCUGCUUUUGUUUUAAUGGCAUUGAUCUAAAGCAGGGAUGCAACGAUUUCCAGUGCAGAAGUUUAUGGUCUGUGUUUGCUGGUGGGAAUGUCUCUCUGUCCCUGAGAGUGGGAAUGCUCCAUGUUGGUGCAGUUUAUCUUCUGCAAACCUCGUCUGUGGAACUCUCGUCUUCCUACCUGGUGCAACCCUCUCAAGCAGGGGACUGAGAGAUGUGGUGGGCAGCAAAAGCUCUGCACAUCUCCCAGGGUGUUUUGCAAAGCCAGCUCAAAGUCUGUGCAGAGACACAACAGAGAUAAAGCAGAAACGAGGGUCACCGACAGCCUGGGCUACCAAAGGUGUGGGUCAUAAUGAGCCCACAGCAACAUUUGCACACACUUCUGGAGCACAGCCUUUGAAGGGACAAGGCUGUAUUUUGACUGAAUUCUGGCUGAAUUUUGACUGAAUUUUGACUGAAGGUUUCGUGGUGUGUUUCUCUGCUAUGGCCCCAGGAUCAAUGGUUUGGCCAGAAACUUCUUACUGCAAAACAGCAGGACUUAAGGCAGUGCAAACCUCACAGUAAAAAACCCAGAAAAAUGGGUAUAUUGUUCAUCCAAAUAAAGGCUUCAUCCUUUGAAUUAUAUUUAAAGAU
This 1438-nucleotide long non-coding RNA is filed under the name Parus major (Great Tit). RNAcentral's name for it is "lncRNA (ENSPMJG00000003173.1)". The record is from RNAcentral. Lineage: Eukaryota; Metazoa; Chordata; Aves; Passeriformes; Paridae.